This is a long non-coding RNA of Exaiptasia diaphana, 1651 nucleotides long. RefSeq lists it as uncharacterized. Lineage: Eukaryota; Metazoa; Cnidaria; Anthozoa; Actiniaria; Aiptasiidae. The transcript has 3 exons. The record is from RefSeq and is a predicted model, not a curated record.
AAGGCAUAAUGAAAGCAGUCACUCUGUAUGCAGGGGUUCAAGGUGGAGCUGGCUAGGUCAAGAUUCUCUUUCUGUUUACGGAAAAACCUUUCUGGCCUGACUGUACGCUAGAUCGUGUAGAGGAAACUGAGUGCAUAUGUGAAUAGCUUUAGGUUAAAAUACUUUUUUAGAUGCAAUUUGUUACGAAAGGACAGUUGUAUCGAUUUCUAGGUGGUCAUGGAAGUGACUACAGAGAAGGUCAUGAUCGGAUCGUUCAUUUCGACAUGAAGUGACAGAAAGCGUAUUUCUAAAACUCUGUACAGUAAAUUUGUCAAGACGUUUAUGGCCGGUAACCGGUCGGAGAUGACAAAUGAACACCAAAACGUAUCCUCAGCCUCUACCAUACAUUGAUGGAAUUACAAAGAUGUGAACUUGACGAAGAAGUUUAAGGGUGGAAAAGAUAACAAGUCAAAAAAAAAUGCAAUUUGUAAUCAGCACUGCAGUGAUCGAAAGAUCUGUUGGUGUUCAUUAAAAGAUAAGUCUGCAUGUCUUUGUGAUUGACAGCUGUCACUGAGCUUAAGUAUGACAGUUAUUUUUUGUGCGGAAUCCCAUUGAAAACUGUGUAUGUUUUACAAAAGCCUUCUAUAACGUCAACUAGUAUGAAGCGGAAUAUURUGAACAUCUUAUCACGWACAAUUUCUAGAUAUGUUUUUUCGAAUCAUUUCUUUAAUUUCUCAAGAAUCGGUGUUUUGUCGUAACGUUCCACUCAUCCCAUGCCAUGACUGGGAAGGUGCCACGCAUCAAUCUGAUCAGGCCAUGUGAUCGAAAAAACUUUCCUUUAAAAGACAGUUAUCUUCGAUUCUUAAAAGCUUGAUUCUUUCUAAUUGGUACCUACUUAUAUUUUGUACGUCUAACUUUUAAUGUCCUGGUAAAUUGAUCAACUUUUAGUAAUUCGUGUUUAAGUGAGUAUGUAUGGCACAGUAGUAUAUUCAAUGUUCCCUGUAGGAGCUUUGGCGGCGUCCAUUUGAUCACUUUUCUCAGAAAACAAAAUAUGGCGGUCUCUUGAAACGCUUACUGUUCGCUGACAUGUUUAUACAAUGCUUGUUGAAAAGACUUUCCAAAAACAAAACUAUGGCGUCUUUGUUGACAUGGGCCACAUAUAUCAUUAGUAAAUAAUCCCAAAACAAUUGUAAUAUUAUCAAAAAAUCAUUAUUUUUGAUAGAAAUUGUAUCUUGUAUUCAAUAAUAAGUUAUUACACAGUUUUGAAAGUAAACUCAAUUUUACAAUAAAACGAUAUUUCCCCGUUAUCGUAUCACAGUCAUACUAGUUCGCGCGCUUUAUUCUUGAAAGGGUCGCUUCAUGAUGUAAAAGUCAACAGUUACUCAAUGUAAAUGAAAUUAAACUGCCAAAAAGGUUACCAUUGAGGCAUAAUCUACGGUUGUAAGUAGUGAAUAAACAUUCAUAUCUUAAAUAAUUAUCUUUAAAGUCUAUAUUACUGCCGUUGAGUCUGUGCAGUAGAACAAGGUCGAGUGUUGUUCAAGUAGAGACAAAAGAUAUGACAAAACAGUCACAUUUAUGUUUGAAAUAACACAUAAAUAAACUUGAACGCUAGUGUAACAUCACAGCAAUUAACACAAAAGUUUUUCAUUUGUUUUCUGAAUUUGUUUAUGUC